CGGGGCUAGGGCUGUCCCUGGUUCCCGGCGCCUCCUCCGUCUGGGUCUCCGCCUCCGGGACCUGCGGCGGCGGUGAGGUCCGGAGCGCGGCUUCCCCGCGGGCGGGCGGCGCGAUGGGUUGCGGGAACUCCACGGCCACCAGCGGGGGCGCGGGGCGAGGUCCAACAGGAGCAGUUAAAGAUGCGACGGAAGACUCCAUAACAGACGACGACAAGAGGAGAAACUACGGUGGCGUGUACGUUGGCCUGCCCUCCGAAGCAGCCAGCAUGGUGUCUAGUCAAGCCAAGACAGUACGGAAAAAUUAGAGGAAGAAAACAGGAUGACUGGAUACUCAAGAGAACCCAGACUCCAGCAGACCAGAAACAAGAGGUCUUUGAUGCUGAAGCAACCUCUUUUCCAGGGAGGGCUGGGGCACACAGCCUGCUUCUUAACGGAAGCCACAGCAGCCUUGGAAUCGUUCUGUGGAGCGUGGCUCAGCAGAGAGGCAUCACAGAGGUCAGCCUGGAGUUCCCACUGCCAACUCGCCAAAAUCCACCAAGGUUUUUUUUUUAAGUCUAGUAUGCAAAUAGAGCGAAUCCCUUUCCCACAUAGAGCUCUGGGUUUGCUGCCAUUUCGCCCCAAGUGUGUGAUGUGUGUGAUCUGCCUCCUGUGUAAGCUGAGCCAGGGGAACACCAGCCUGUCAUUUCUCUUGUGAAGGGUUUCAGACGCGUAGGAACUGAGCAGAAGAGGUGUCCCGUAGUCCAAUCCCAGGAACCUAGUUAUUGGAAUUUUCCCAGGGGCCUGCCCUGAGAAAAUCCUUCCCAGAGUCCUGGGGAAGAACACUACGUCUGGCGUGUGGUUAUCUGAGGGAAAAGAAUCUAUGUACACCAAAGCUCUUUCAUCUGUUUAUUUUUCUAUGACAAAAUCCUAUCUACACAGCUUCAGCUCCGUCCUCACACUCAGCUCCUCUCUGUGCCUACUGGGCCUGCCUGUCAUAGACCUAACUAAUCUCCUGUGCUUUCGACCUCAUCUCCGUCCUCUGUUCCUUCAUCCUCCAUCUUUCCUUCCUUGUUCCUUACCCCUGGCUCUGAGAAACUGCCUUUUCUUCUCUCCAGUGGCUCUGCCUCACCAGGAAUUCUGCUCCAAUCUUUACUGCACCUGGUUAUGCAAAAAGCCCUAUUGUCCUGAAUCAAUAGCUCUUGGAUGCUACUAGACCUGAAGGCAAGGGAUGGUCUGAGCUUCAUUUGCACAAGAAACAAAGCUAUGCAUCUACAGCCCACCUGUCUUCUAGGCCCUGCAGGGAUGUUACCUAGUGAAUCAGCAGCAGGUCUGAGAAGCUUGUUCUGUUUGCCAUAUGGCCUAGUAGUGUAUGAGCACACAAGAGUUUCAUAGCAGAAGACAGCUGAUAUAUAUUAAAAGCUGAAUAACACCAACUAUUCCUUGAUAAAUGGCUCCCCUCUUCAAGGACUCCUUGGUUUAUCAAGGUAUAGCUUAUUAUAUGCAGCUGAAUCUCUAUACUAUAUUCUUGUGGCUUGCUGCACCUGGUCACCUCUGCUGCACACAGACCCCAGGUGAGUUCUGCUGGGCCUCUCAGCUUUCUCACUGGGGAUGAGACUUGAUAGCUGAUUGCCUUUGUGUGAGGGUCAGAAGUUCCCGCAGUAAUAGUUUAGCAGUUGCUGCUCACAGCCCACAUGGUUGUACAUAGUGGAUGAAAUACCGCUUCGCUGCUCAUGGAUCCCGUGUGUUCUUUGACCCCCUCUGUUGUCUCUGUUCUCUGAUCUCAUCUCUAAGUAGUCAGUUUGAUUCUGGCUUCCAUUUUGCCUGGCCUUUGAAUUACCUGAAAAGUCUUGACCAUCCCUGUUCCUGAGUGGCUAUGUGUCCAUCGUUCCGCUUGUCUGUGACACACCUACACCUGUGACUUUGCAGGAUAGUCAUUGGGCAGAAUCUUGAUGGGAAGACUGUCCUCUGGGGGCUUUUGAAACAAAGAAAAAGCUACACUGUUUUUAGCUAACACCACCAUUCCAUUUUCUGAAUGGAAUUCAUGCCGUGAGCUCAUGUGGCUAUUUUUUGGACCAAAUCAAGGAAUGACUUCAGCAUCUGGGGAAUAUGGAUAUGUAAUUUCUCAUACACCUGACUCUAGAGUGGAAGCCACACGCACGUAGCUGUGGCUUUUUCAGAGGCACCUUCUACCCAGGAGGGAAGUGGUCGCAUAGGCCCACUUUCAACUAAGCUAGUUCAAAAGGAGCUUAUGUGAUGGCUCUUAGAUGCCAGUGUGGACCAGCUCCAUCAGUAUCCCUUGGAGAGCUCCACAGGCUCUGUGGUUGGAGCCUCUCUCUAGUUUAAUGCUGGAAAGGGAUAGCAUUAUGACUGGUGAUCUGUAUUAUGAAUGUGGUGCUGAUAUGCACACAGCCUGAUUUGACCAUUGUUAUUCUGUAGUUUAAUUUUUAAUUGUAUUUUUAUAAGUUUCCCAGCAUCCAAUUUUAUCUCUUUAUAUAAAUAUUACCACCAUUCAGAACCAUGCUGCCCAGUAAUAAACCUUAAGUAGCUGUUGAUUGGCUAUUGAACAUGCAAUCUGCUUAAAAGCAAAUCCAGUAGAUAAUUUGCAGGCUUAAGACACGUGCUUUUAUCUAAGUUGUGAUAUUUGAGUGUGCUGAUUCUUCCCCCCUCUUUUCUUUUUUCUCU
Non-coding RNA from Peromyscus maniculatus bairdii (prairie deer mouse), 2661 nucleotides. Lineage: Eukaryota; Metazoa; Chordata; Mammalia; Rodentia; Cricetidae. The record is from RefSeq and is a predicted model, not a curated record.